CCUACGGGUGGCAGCAGUGAGGAAUAUUGGUCAAUGGGCGCGAGCCUGAACCAGCCAAGUCGCGUGAGGGAAGACGGCCCUACGGGUUGUAAACUGCUUUUGUACAAGGGUAAACCUGAAUACGUGUAUUCAGCUGAAAGUACUGUACGAAUAAGGAUCGGCUAACUCCGUGCCAGCAGCCGCGGUAAUACGGAGGAUCCAAGCGUUAUCCGGAUUUAUUGGGUUUAAAGGGUGCGUAGGCGGAAUGCCAAGUCAGCGGUAAAAUCGCGGGGCUCAACCUCGCUCCGCCGUUGAAACUGGCGUUCUUGAGUGGGCGAGAAGUAUGCGGAAUGCGUGGUGUAGCGGUGAAAUGCAUAGAUAUCACGCAGAACUCCGAUUGCGAAGGCAGCAUACCGGCGCCCAACUGACGCUGAAGCACGAAAGCGUGGGUAUCGAACAGGAUUAGAUACCCCAGUAGUC
Molecule: ribosomal RNA, 459 nt
Filed under: uncultured bacterium
Lineage: Bacteria
Description: partial 16S ribosomal RNA
Rfam family: Bacterial small subunit ribosomal RNA
Source: RNAcentral